CGAAGGAUCCAAGCGUUAUCCGGAUUUAUUGGGUUUAAAGGGUGCGUAGGUGGACUAUUAAGUCAGUGGUGAAAGCUUCCCGCUUAACGGGAAAAUUGCCAUUGAUACUGAUGGUCUUGAGUGCAUUUGAAGUGGGCGGAAUGUGUCGUGUAGUGGUGAAAUACUUAGAUAUGACACAGAACACCGAUUGCGAAGGCAGCUCACUAAACUGUAACUGACACUGAGGCACGAAAGCGUGGGGAUCAAACAGGAUUAGAUACCCUGGUAGUCCACGCCCUAAACGAUGAUUACUCGAUGUGUGCGAUACACUGCACGCGUCUGAGCGAAAGCAUUAAGUAAUCCACCUGGGGAGUACGGCCGCAAGGCUG
This 368-nucleotide ribosomal RNA is filed under the name uncultured organism. Its description in RNAcentral is "bacterial SSU rRNA". It matches the Rfam family "Bacterial small subunit ribosomal RNA", at positions 526 to 896 of the family's 1533-position model. The record is from RNAcentral.